Molecule: ribosomal RNA, 254 nt
Filed under: uncultured bacterium
Lineage: Bacteria
Description: partial 16S ribosomal RNA
Rfam family: Bacterial small subunit ribosomal RNA
Source: RNAcentral
GUCCACGCCGUAAACGAUGGAUACUAGCUGUUGGUAUUUAUCUCAGUGGCUAAGCGAAAGUGAUAAGUAUCCCACCUGGGGAGUACGUUCGCAAGAAUGAAACUCAAAGGAAUUGACGGGGCCCGCACAAGCGGUGGAGCAUGUGGUUUAAUUCGAUGAUACGCGAGGAACCUUACCAAGGCUUAAAUGUAGUUUGACAGGUUUGGAAACAGAUCUUUCUUCGGACAAAUUACAAGGUGCUGCAUGGUUGUCGU